RNAcentral lists this ribosomal RNA (431 nucleotides) under uncultured bacterium. RNAcentral describes it as "bacterial SSU rRNA". It matches the Rfam family "Bacterial small subunit ribosomal RNA", at positions 355 to 796 of the family's 1533-position model. The record is from RNAcentral.
UCGAGGAUCUUUGGCAAUGGACGCAAGUCUGACCAAGCGACGCCGCGUGGACGAUGAAGGCCUUCGGGUUGUAAAGUCCUGUCGAGGGGGAUCAAGGGGCAACCUUGAGUGAUCCCUGGAGGAAGGGCGGGCUAAGUUCGUGCCAGCAGCCGCGGUAAGACGAACUGCCCAAACGUUGUUCGGAAUCACUGGGCUUAAAGGGCGCGUAGGCGGCUUACCAAGUCAGGGGUGAAAUCCGGCAGCUUAACUGUCGAAGUGCCUUUGAUACUGGUGAGCUCGAGGGAGGUAGGGGUCCGUGGAACUUCCGGUGGAGCGGUGAAAUGCGUUGAUAUCGGAAGGAACGCCGGUGGCGAAAGCGACGGACUGGAUCUCUUCUGACGCUGAGGCGCGAAAGCUAGGGGAGCAAACGGGAUUAGAUACCCCCGUAGUCC